AGAGUUUGAUCCUGGCUCAGAUUGAACGCUGGCGGCAGGCCUAACACAUGCAAGUCGAACGGUAACAGGAAGCAGCUUGCUGCUUCGCUGACGAGUGGCGGACGGGUGAGUAAUGUCUGGGAAACUGCCUGAUGGAGGGGGAUAACUACUGGAAACGGUAGCUAAUACCGCAUAACGUCGCAAGACCAAAGAGGGGGACCUUCGGGCCUCUUGCCAUCGGAUGUGCCCAGAUGGGAUUAGCUAGUAGGUGGGGUAACGGCUCACCUAGGCGACGAUCCCUAGCUGGUCUGAGAGGAUGACCAGCCACACUGGAACUGAGACACGGUCCAGACUCCUACGGGAGGCAGCAGUGGGGAAUAUUGCACAAUGGGCGCAAGCCUGAUGCAGCCAUGCCGCGUGUAUGAAGAAGGCCUUCGGGUUGUAAAGUACUUUCAGCGGGGAGGAAGGGAGUAAAGUUAAUACCUUUGCUCAUUGACGUUACCCGCAGAAGAAGCACCGGCUAACUCCGUGCCAGCAGCCGCGGUAAUACGGAGGGUGCAAGCGUUAAUCGGAAUUACUGGGCGUAAAGCGCACGCAGGCGGUUUGUUAAGUCAGAUGUGAAAUCCCCGGGCUCAACCUGGGAACUGCAUCUGAUACUGGCAAGCUUGAGUCUCGUAGAGGGGGGUAGAAUUCCAGGUGUAGCGGUGAAAUGCGUAGAGAUCUGGAGGAAUACCGGUGGCGAAGGCGGCCCCCUGGACGAAGACUGACGCUCAGGUGCGAAAGCGUGGGGAGCAAACAGGAUUAGAUACCCUGGUAGUCCACGCCGUAAACGAUGUCGACUUGGAGGUUGUGCCCUUGAGGCGUGGCUUCCGGAGCUAACGCGUUAAGUCGACCGCCUGGGGAGUACGGCCGCAAGGUUAAAACUCAAAUGAAUUGACGGGGGCCCGCACAAGCGGUGGAGCAUGUGGUUUAAUUCGAUGCAACGCGAAGAACCUUACCUGGUCUUGACAUCCACGGAAGUUUUCAGAGAUGAGAAUGUGCCUUCGGGAACCGUGAGACAGGUGCUGCAUGGCUGUCGUCAGCUCGUGUUGUGAAAUGUUGGGUUAAGUCCCGCAACGAGCGCAACCCUUAUCCUUUGUUGCCAGCGGUCCGGCCGGGAACUCAAAGGAGACUGCCAGUGAUAAACUGGAGGAAGGUGGGGAUGACAUCAAGUCAUCAUGGCCCUUACGACCAGGGCUACACACGUGCUACAAUGGCGCAUACAAAGAGAAGCGACCUCGCGAGAGCAAGCGGACCUCAUAAAGUGCGUCGUAGUCCGGAUUGGAGUCUGCAACUCGACUCCAUGAAGUCGGAAUCGCUAGUAAUCGUGGAUCAGAAUGCCACGGUGAAUACGUUCCCGGGCCUUGCACACACCGCCCGUCA
RNAcentral lists this ribosomal RNA (1401 nucleotides) under uncultured bacterium. RNAcentral describes it as "bacterial SSU rRNA". It matches the Rfam family "Bacterial small subunit ribosomal RNA". The record is from RNAcentral.